This 253-nucleotide ribosomal RNA is filed under the name uncultured bacterium. RNAcentral's name for it is "partial 16S ribosomal RNA". It matches the Rfam family "Bacterial small subunit ribosomal RNA", at positions 524 to 776 of the family's 1533-position model. The record is from RNAcentral.
UACGGAGGAUGCAAGCGUUAUCCGGAUUCAUUGGGUUUAAAGGGUGCGUAGGCGGAACGAUAAGUCAGUGGUGAAAGCCCUCAGCUUAACUGAGGAACUGCCAUUGAUACUGUCGAUCUUGAGUACAUUUGAUGUGGGCGGAAUGUGUCAUGUAGCGGUGAAAUGCUUAGAUAUGACACAGAACACCGAUUGCGAAGGCAGCUCACAAAACUGUAACUGACGCUGAGGCACGAAAGCGUGGGGAGCAAACAGG